ACCAAGUCCGAGUUGGCACGUUGGUGCUCGACCUUGGCGGACGCCGAUCGUCAGUCGAAGAGAUCAACUCUGAGAUUUCAAACUGGAUUUGUAUUCCGACUGGACAAAUACAGAGUUCAUUGGUAGUACAAUUUCAGGUUAUCGGUGUUCCACGUUCGGAGAAUGGGUUUUCCCUCAAGGGUCUCCAGUCGGUAGGCUCUCGGACCAUAGGUGUCUGCCACCUUGUAGGGCCC
RNAcentral lists this long non-coding RNA (233 nucleotides) under Elaeis guineensis (African oil palm). Its description in RNAcentral is "long non-coding RNA (EGUI_LNC081932)". The record is from RNAcentral. Lineage: Eukaryota; Viridiplantae; Streptophyta; Magnoliopsida; Arecales; Arecaceae.